GGAAAAAUAGGAUUACAUAUAAAUUCUUUGCGUCCAGAUCUUCCUCUGUCACUCAACAAUCUGCAGCAGACCUAAGAAAUCCCCUUUUGGAGUUCCUGAUCUGGGUCAUCCAGAUCUGAUCAAGAAACUACUAAAAAUGAGAUCUUUUGAGAAAUUCAAGAUUUGGGUUUUGUUAAUCUGCUUGGUAUCUGAAUUGUGUUAUGGGUUUUAUCUGCCUGGAA
RNAcentral lists this unclassified non-coding RNA (221 nucleotides) under Hevea brasiliensis (rubber tree). The record is from RNAcentral. Lineage: Eukaryota; Viridiplantae; Streptophyta; Magnoliopsida; Malpighiales; Euphorbiaceae.